Molecule: small RNA, 1589 nt
Filed under: Pan troglodytes (chimpanzee)
Lineage: Eukaryota; Metazoa; Chordata; Mammalia; Primates; Hominidae
Description: retained intron
Source: RNAcentral
GGACGACGACGGGGAGAUGGACGGCCUCGGGGGCAAGCAUUGCUGCCGCUGGAUCGACUGCAGCGCCCUGUACGACCAACAGGAGGAGCUCGUGCGGCACAUCGAGAAGGUCCACAUCGACCAGCGCAAAGGGGAGGACUUCACUUGCUUCUGGGCCGGUUGCCCUCGAAGAUACAAGCCCUUCAACGCCCGCUAUAAGCUGCUGAUCCACAUGAGAGUCCACUCCGGGGAGAAGCCCAACAAGUGUACGUUUGAAGGUUGCGAGAAGGCCUUUUCAAGGCUUGAAAAUCUCAAGAUCCACUUGCGGAGCCACACAGGCGAGAAGCCGUAUUUGUGCCAGCAUCCGGGUUGUCAGAAGGCCUUCAGUAACUCCAGUGACCGCGCCAAACACCAGCGGACGCAUCUGGACACGAAACCUUAUGCUUGUCAAAUUCCAGGAUGUACCAAACGCUACACAGACCCAAGUUCCCUAAGAAAGCAUGUGAAGGCACAUUCUUCCAAAGAGCAACAAGCAAGGAAAAAGUUGCGGUCCAGCACAGAGCUCCAUCCAGACCUGCUCACAGAUUGCCUCACCGUGCAGCCCCUGCAGCCGGCCACUUCCCCUAGAGAUGCUGCUGCUGAAGGGACCGUGGGACGCUCCCCUGGACCCGGGCCUGACCUCUAUUCAGCUCCCAUUUUCUCCAGCAAUUAUUCAAGCCGAAGUGGAACAGCUGCUGGGGCCGUACCACCCCCACAUCCUGUCAGUCACCCUUCUCCAGGACAUAAUGUACAGGGGAGCCCCCACAACCCCUCCUCCCAGUUACCUCCACUCACAGCUGUGGACGCAGGAGCUGAGAGGUUUGCACCUUCUGCUCCAUCUCCUCACCACAUCAGCCCCCGGAGAGUUCCAGCUCCUUCUUCAAUACUGCAAAGAACACAGCCUCCCUAUACCCAGCAGCCAUCAGGUUCACACCUGAAGUCCUAUCAGCCAGAAACAAACUCUUCUUUUCAACCAAAUGGUAUCCAUGUCCAUGGUAAGCAAGAAGCUGGCAGUCCCUUGAGUUUUGAAAAGUGACAUUGUGCUGUUGCUUUUCAUCUUAGUUACCUGUCGUGGAUUUCAGAUGCUCUGUUCUACACCAGGCUUAGGCUUUCAUGACUUGCCUCUAAAAUUUCACACUUGAUAGGCAUGAAAUCCUAUGGUAUUUUCCUGACUUUGGCCUGAUGAUGGUAUGAUUUAUGACACCUCGCACUGGUCAGCUCAAGUUGCUGGUUUUUUCAUUGGCCAGGGCUCUAACACCAGCAAUAGCAUCCUGUUUCUAAACAACAGACAGCCCAUGGAGAAAGAAAUGACAGGAGUUCUUGUGCCCAAGCAUGCCUCUGCUCUGCUAGGUUUUUGCUCUCAUUCUCAUAGGUCCACAUGCUCUCCAUCCUUCAAGGCGCAGGUGGAAUGACGCCUCCUCUCUGAAGCCUUUCCUGAUCCCCCAGCCGAUGUCAUCUCUCCAGGCUCUAAACUCUGAUUUUAUAUCACCUGUCUUUCUCUGGUAGUAUUUAUGCUUCCUCUACCUUGUGUUUUACUUAUCUAUCUGUGAAUAAAACAUACUUUCACUAUU